Molecule: unclassified non-coding RNA, 889 nt
Filed under: Melitaea cinxia (Glanville fritillary)
Lineage: Eukaryota; Metazoa; Arthropoda; Insecta; Lepidoptera; Nymphalidae
Description: misc RNA ENSMCXG00005016512.1
Source: RNAcentral
AAUUAAACAGUAUUAUAUUAUGCAGAUAUUUUUUGUAGUGCUCUAUUUUCUCAAUUUGUGAUUUUAUCCUUUAUUAUUAUCUCGUUGUAUUUUAAGAUUUUCAUUGAAAUCUGUUAAAUAUCAAAACGUAAGAAUACUUAAGGUGACAAUAACUAUCACAUACUAGUUCACACGACAAUAUAAGUCUAAUCGAGCUUGGACACUGUUACAGAAUGUGUUGUUCUGUUUAAUUUUGUUAGACAGCAUUUAUUUCUAUAUUAUAAAAAAAAAAACAAUGCCACUAGUACUUUAAGAAGAGGAAGAUCAUGUCAAUUUGUACAUGUUAAAUAGAAAAUUAUUUUUAAUAAAAAUCAAGCAAAUUAUAUUAGAAUAAAAAAUGUUUUUUUGUAAAAGAUAUUGUAUCGUCUAACGGCAUCUAUUAUUAUUGUAUCAAAUAAUUCCAAGAUCAACGAAAGGUUAUAAGUCGGUAAAAAAGCGUACGUACCUAAUGGUAAGCGAUUACCAUCUGAUACAAGCAUCGCAAGCGCGUUGUCGACCCUUCCUGGGGAUCCAUCCUCCCAGGAGCUCUAGUCACUUUACUUACCACAAGAACACAACACUGCUUGAAAGCAGUAUUAUUUAGGUGUGAUCUUCUGGAAGGUCCGAUGUACUGCCGCAGUCGGGCCGCUUCAGAUUUUAAGCAGGAUAUGUCCUGCUGUUCCCUACCUCAGAUACGUCACAUCACGCAAUCAAACAAUUCAAUGUUAUCAAAAUGUUCUUAAGUAUUUAAAAUAUAUUGGAAGUAAGUAUAUAAUAUGGAAUCGUUUCUGUUUCCUAUAUUAUAACCGAAAUAAUUACCAGUUUACAUUUAUUUCAGUUCUUCAUUUCGCAAUAUUUAAACGAAAGGGAC